UAACGCGCGAUCGCCUUGAGUUUGAUCAUGGCUCAGGAUGAACGCUAGCGGCAGGCUUAAUACAUGCAAGUCGAGGGGCAGCAGGGGUGUAGCAAUACACUCGCUGGCGACCGGCAAACGGGUGCGGAACACGUACGCAACCUACCCAAAACUGGGGAAUAGCCCGGGGAAACCCGGAUUAAUACCUCGUAACAUUAUGAAGUGGCAUCACUUUAUAAUUAUAGCUCCGGCGGUUUUGGAUGGGCGUGCGCCUGAUUAGGUAGUUGGCGGGGUAACGGUCCACCAAGCCUUCGAUCAGUAACUGGUGUGAGAGCACGACCAGUCACACGGGCACUGAGACACGGGCCCGACUCCUACGGGAGGCAGCAGUAAGGAAUAUUGGUCAAUGGACGCAAGUCUGAACCAGCCAUGCCGCGUGAAGGAUGAAGGUCCUCUGGAUUGUAAACUUCUUUUAUAUGGGACGAAACCUCUUAUUCUUAAGAGACUGACGGUACCAUAGGAAUAAGCACCGGCUAACUCCGUGCCAGCAGCCGCGGUAAUACGGAGGGUGCAAGCGUUAUCCGGAUUCACUGGGUUUAAAGGGUGCGUAGGAGGACAGGUAAGUCAGUGGUGAAAUCUCCGAGCUUAACUCGGAAACUGCCGUUGAUACUAUCUGUCUUGAAUACCGUGGAGAUGAGCGGAAUAUGUCAUGUAGCGGUGAAAUGCUUAGAUAUGACAUAGAACACCAAUUGCGAANGCAGCUCGUUACAC
This 750-nucleotide ribosomal RNA is filed under the name uncultured bacterium. RNAcentral describes it as "bacterial SSU rRNA". It matches the Rfam family "Bacterial small subunit ribosomal RNA", at positions 1 to 734 of the family's 1533-position model. The record is from RNAcentral.